This 478-nucleotide ribosomal RNA is filed under the name uncultured Planctomycetales bacterium. RNAcentral describes it as "bacterial SSU rRNA". It matches the Rfam family "Bacterial small subunit ribosomal RNA", at positions 365 to 833 of the family's 1533-position model. The record is from RNAcentral. Lineage: Bacteria; Pseudomonadati; Planctomycetota; Planctomycetia; Planctomycetales.
UUCGCAAUGCCCGAAAGGGUGACGAAGCGACGCCGCGUGUGGGAAGAAGGCCUUCGGGUUGUAAACCACUGUCGGGAGUUAAGAAAUACAAGGAUAUUAAUAGUGUCUUUGUUUGACUAAGGCUCCGGAGGAAGCCACGGCUAACUCUGUGCCAGCAGCCGCGGUAAUACAGAGGCGGCAAGCGUUGUUCGGAAUUAUUGGGCGUAAAGAGCACGUAGGCGGCUAUGUAAGUCGGUUGUGAAAGCCUUCCGCUCAACGGAAGAACAGCAUCCGAUACUACAUGGCUUGAGUGCGGGAGGGGAGAGUGGAACUUCUGGUGGAGCGGUGAAAUGCGUAGAUAUCAGAAGGAACGCCGGCGGCGAAAGCGGCUCUCUGGCCCAUAACUGACGCUGAGUGUGCGAAAGCUAGGGGAGCAAACGGGAUUGGAUACCCCGGUAGUCCUAGCCGUAAACGAUGGGCACUAAGUAGAGGGGUUUUA